RNAcentral lists this ribosomal RNA (445 nucleotides) under uncultured bacterium. RNAcentral's name for it is "partial 16S ribosomal RNA". It matches the Rfam family "Bacterial small subunit ribosomal RNA", at positions 354 to 796 of the family's 1533-position model. The record is from RNAcentral.
GUAAGGAAUAUUGGACAAUGGACGCAAGUCUGAUCCAGCCAUGCCGCGUGAAGGAUUAAGGUCCUCUGGAUUGUAAACUUCUUUUAUAAGGGACGAAAAAAGGCUUUUCUAAGUCGUCUGACGGUACCUUAUGAAUAAGCACCGGCUAACUCCGUGCCAGCAGCCGCGGUAAUACGGAGGGUGCAAGCGUUAUCCGGAUUCACUGGGUUUAAAGGGUGCGUAGGCGGGCAGGUAAGUCAGUGGUGAAAUCCUAGAGCUUAACUCUAGAACUGCCAUUGAUACUAUCUGUCUUGAAUACUGUGGAGGUAAGCGGAAUAUGUCAUGUAGCGGUGAAAUGCUUAGAUAUGACAUAGAACACCUAUUGCGAAGGCAGCUUACUACGCAUAUAUUGACGCUGAGGCACGAAAGCGUGGGGAUCAAACAGGAUUAGAAACCCUGGUAGUCC